Molecule: ribosomal RNA, 796 nt
Filed under: Naganishia globosa
Lineage: Eukaryota; Fungi; Basidiomycota; Tremellomycetes; Filobasidiales; Filobasidiaceae
Description: eukaryotic LSU rRNA
Rfam family: Eukaryotic large subunit ribosomal RNA (bases 184-796)
Source: RNAcentral
UUGGAUUUGGACGUUUGCCGAUGAUAAGUCGGCUCGUCUUAAAAGUAAUAGCUGGAUCUGUCUCGCGACAUGGUUUGACUUGGCGUAAUAAGUAUUUCGCUAAGGACAUCUUCGGAUGGCCCUGUUGCAGACUAAAGACCGCUUUCUAAUCCAUUGAUCUUCGGAUUAAUAUUUCAUAACAUCUGGCCUCAAAUCAGGUAGGACUACCCGCUGAACUUAAGCAUAUCAAUAAGCGGAGGAAAAGAAACUAACAAGGAUUCCCCUAGUAACGGCGAGUGAAGCGGGAAGAGCUCAAAUUUGAAAUCUGGUAGCCUUCGGUUGCCCGAGUUGUAAUCUAGAGAAGUGUUUUCCGCGUUGGCCCAUGUACAAGUCCCUUGGAACAGGGCGUCAUAGAGGGUGAGAAUCCCGUCCUUGACAUGGACCCCCAAUGCUUUGUGAUACACUUUCAACGAGUCGAGUUGUUUGGGAAUGCAGCUCAAAAUGGGUGGUGAAUUCCAUCUAAAGCUAAAUAUUGGCGAGAGACCGAUAGCGAACAAGUACCGUGAGGGAAAGAUGAAAAGCACUUUGGAAAGAGAGUUAAACAGUACGUGAAAUUGUUGAAAGGGAAACGAUUGAAGUCAGUCAUGCUCUUUGGUUUAAGCCGUUCUGCGGUGUAUAUCAUUGAGUGGGGUCAACAUCAGUUUUGACCGCUGGAAAAGGGCAGGAGGAAGGUAGCACUCUCGGGUGAACUUAUAGCCUCCCGUCGUAUACAGUGGUUGGGACUGAGGAACGCAGCAUGCCUUUUGGCCGGGAUUCG